Molecule: ribosomal RNA, 207 nt
Filed under: uncultured bacterium
Lineage: Bacteria
Description: partial 16S ribosomal RNA
Rfam family: Bacterial small subunit ribosomal RNA
Source: RNAcentral
UACGUAGGGGGCAAGCGUUGUCCGGAUUUACUGGGCGUAAAGAGCGUGUAGGCGGCCAAGCAGGUCCGUUGUGAAAACUGGAGGCUUAACCUCCAGACGUCGACGGAAACCGCGUGGCUAGAGUCCGGAAGAGGAGAGUGGAAUUCCUGGUGUAGCGGUGAAAUGCGCAGAUAUCAGGAGGAACACCAACGGCGAAGGCAGCUCGCU